This 205-nucleotide ribosomal RNA is filed under the name Clostridioides difficile. RNAcentral describes it as "partial 23S ribosomal RNA". It matches the Rfam family "Bacterial large subunit ribosomal RNA", at positions 1189 to 1401 of the family's 2925-position model. Lineage: Bacteria; Bacillati; Bacillota; Clostridia; Peptostreptococcales; Peptostreptococcaceae. The record is from RNAcentral.
UACUACCGAAGCUACGGCAUCAGUAAUGAUGGGUAGGGGAGCUUCCCAUACGGGUUGAAGCAUGACCGUAAGGACAUGUGGACAGUAUGGGAGUGAGAAUGUUGGCAUGAGUAGCGAGAUGUGGGUGAGAAUCCCACAGGCCGUAAACCCAAGGUUUCCAGGGGAAGGUUCGUCCGCCCUGGGUUAGUCGGGACCUAAGCUGAGG